Long non-coding RNA from Anguilla rostrata (American eel), 7446 nucleotides. RefSeq lists it as uncharacterized. The transcript has 2 exons. The record is from RefSeq and is a predicted model, not a curated record. Lineage: Eukaryota; Metazoa; Chordata; Actinopteri; Anguilliformes; Anguillidae.
UCUGACGCUGGCUGUAGUAUCCAUGGGGGGGGGGGCGAGGGAAUCGCCGCAGUGACCUGCUGCUUCCCCUUAGCGACCAAAGAAGAGUGCUCCCUUUCCACUGCAACUGAACAGUUUAUACAGCUAAUGUUGGGCAUUGCUACAGUGACAGCUCUGCAGGGUAAUCGGUCAAGGAAAGCUUUAGUGCAACAAUAAGUGAAAGGUGAAUGAACAAGAGAAAAGGAGAGAAUAAUAAAAGGGGUGAGAAACGUUUGACAUUUAAAAGCAUUUUAUUUAACCAUUUUUUUUCAAAAGAGCAGAGAGGGAGAAGGAGAAUGUGUGCGUAUGUGUGUGUGUGUGUGAGAGAGAGAGAGAGAGAGAAAGAAAGAGAGAGAGACACAUGCACACCCACACUCACACACACACCCAUCAACUACACACACACACACACCCACCUACACACCCCUCCCCCACACACACACACACCCACACACACACACACACACACAAGCACACCCUCCACUUCCUGAGGAUGCCGGAGCACUGUGUUACAGUUACAGUUAUAUCUGCAGGGAUGAGUCAUGGCCGUCCUGCAGGAGCAGACUGCCCGGGCAGACAGCUGCCAUCUGCUUAUCAGCAGCCAGCAUUCCCGCUCUGUCGCCAGGGGGGUGUGUGUUCCCGUACUGACACAAUGGGGCGGCGGGCCUUCUGCUGCCUGGAAAUCUCCACUCCAGGAGCCCCUACGUUUCUGGGCUGGAGACUGCUAAUGAUAAUGGAAUAUACUGUAAUUGUAUUGAAACAAAAAAAUAUCUUAAAAUAAAUGUUUUAGCAGAUGCUGCGUUAUAUUUACAUAUACAUGUUUUACAUAAAACAGUGUAAGUUAACAAUAGAAGGCUACUAGCUUUCCACGGAAGGAUGCAUCAGCGCAAAAAAUCUUCAAAAAAUAUCCAAGGCAGUCUCACCCCCAAGUUGGUAGGUUAAGUAAAAAGCUAAAUUUAUGAACUCAGUAAAACAGUGGAGCGCUGCCAGCCUCAUAUUGCGGUAUGUUUCAUUUCCAUAUGGAUUAAAGUCAGCCAGGCUGAGACUGUGGCUCACCAGAGGAGGCCUCAGGUAGACCCCAUCUCUGUGACCGGUGACCUCAUCACGAAUGCUGUAUAUCUGUGCCGACGGCCACGCAGUAGGGGAGAGACAUAUUUCAUAUCCUGGUGGUAACAAUGCCAUGUACUGUUCAUCACAAUAGCCUCAGCAGCAAGACCUGCCUUUGUCCUAUUGUGUCCCCAGAGUUCACCAUGCAGGAGCCUCACCAUGGAUACCCAUGCAGAUAUUCUGAAGGUCAUGUGAUUGUGAAGCACAGGGCUAUUUUCGGCCAGCGGGAUACUGUGGGGCUUUGCAGUUCUUAAGGUGCUUUCCUUCCAUUUACAUAUUUUAUUUCCCCCAAACCUCCCUGUGUCUCCUUACAUUUUCAGAGGAAAACCUUGUCUCUCAGGUUUCUUCUGGUUUUUUAAUGCAUUUACUCAUCCAACCUGAUUGGAUUUUCUUUCACUUUAAACCUGGAUUGGGGAAGCCUUUCAGGUUUUCAAAGAAAAUUCAGUGGGCAUAAAGUGUAAGACACAACUGUAUAAACUACACCGUGACUCUACGUUUAAACAUAAAUUCUAGAGCAUGGGAAUGAAAACUGAGACUAUUUGUGUGUUGCACUGCAUGACUGCUUCUGAACAUGCACAGCACCCUGUUGUAAUGUGUUAGCCAAUAGGUUUUAUCUGAUUGGCAUACUUUCCAGUCCAGCAGGAACUGCACAUUUAUUUCUGAUGUAAUGCAUGUUUCCCUCCCUGCACUGAAGACUACGACUCAAACCUGAAUGAUAGAACAGCAUGUCUUGCCAUGAAAUCCAUAUCCACAGUUUAACAGAAAGGGGCCUGGCCUACUCAGGAUGUGAUGUCAUAAAACAGCAGCACCGGAUCCCUCUUCCAGAUGACACUCUGUGUCAUCAUCACGCAAACUCAGGCUUUGUAAACAUUUGCAGGCAAGCAGGGGAAUCUGGGGAGACUGAAAUGUGCUCGUUUAAUCCCAGGCGGCUUUGUUUCCAUGGUGCCCUGUUCAGCGCCCUUUGUGACAAGAUUCUUGAGAACCACAUCAUGCCUCCUGGUGUUUCUGAAACCCAAGAGCAGCACCAUCCUUCUGUAUCGUCCUCUAUAAAGGGUGUCUGGAUGGUUGUCUGGAUUUGUGACUUUGUGAAGGCAGCAACACAAGUAAAAUUAUACCUUUAAUUUUCUGCGUUAAUGGUUAUGUGUGUAUGGUUAUGACCGAAGUGUUUGUAUUGUGAAGGCCUAGCCUUAAUGUUAUUGUGCGUAGCAUGUAUUGAGCUCAGAGACAUUAGUGAUUGUGUGAAUGGCUGUUUAGGACAUGUGAUGUCAGCUUCAAAUUUACCAUGAAUUGAUCAUUUUCAUUUCAAGUUUUCAUAAUUAUUUCAUUUCUCAUGAAUAUUUAUAAUUAUUAUUUAUCGUUUUUCUAUACCAGCUCAAUUAAUUCAUUAAUUCAGUAUAGUCAUUUGGGUUAAAAUGUGUUAGGUUUAAUAUUAAUAAUAUUAAUAUAAUAUGUGUUCUCAUUAAGAUUACUUGGUUGAGAUGAGCUUGUGACUACUGUGCCUGAUAACACCAUCAAUUUGCCUCACCAAGGACAGUAUAAAACCAUUGUUCACCAGAAUGCAGGUUAGUACAAGACCCAUUUUGAUGAUCCUGUAGGUUCACAGUACACAAUAAAAUAUUUAGUGUUAAAUCAAUCUGAGUGCACUUGAUUCCUCUUGGACUCAUACAGAUUAAAAAAAAAUUGUGUAGGUUGUGAUGUUUUAAGUGCCUGUUGACAUUUAAAAUAAAAGCAUGAAAAUGUCCUAGUCCUGGUGGCCAGCUGGGGUGUGUGGGGGUAAUUUAAUUAGUUUUGAGGUACUUUCCUUUCUGAAUAAUAGUGAAAUAGCGAUGCCACUGCUGUGUAUUCAUUUAGAGCUGUUAUUUUAGGGUGUAGUGUUUCUCAGGUGUUGUGGGUUGGUCACAUAUUGUAGCCAUCUUGCAUAGAGUAAUUGUUACCCUGAACACCAGCUGCCUUCAGUGUGUCUUUAAAAAUAUAUAUAUUUUACUGCAUCAUUAAAUUGUCUGUUUCCUUAAACUUGUCUCUGUCUGCAUUUUUUGCUGCUAAAGUUUCCCUCCAGAUUUCUCUCUCAUUAUUUUACUCAUACCGCCAUCAUACAGGAGACUUCAAACCAACGGCAGUCUGCUCUCCUUCAUUUGGAUCAAACCAAACAGCGCUCCCUCAAAGAAAAAUGGCCUGCAACCUGAGCCUUUUAAAGCAGGCAACAAUGAGUUUCUGCUGUAUGCUCCCACAAACAAUAGGCCCCUUUAUUGCCACAAUCUCCCAGCUAAAAUCCACAAGGCAAAACCCUUUCUCCUUGCUGUGUUCCCGGCGGAGCGCGGUGACUGAGCUGCGGUCAGGAUCUUGCGCAGGCCUGGAGGUUUAUGGAACAGAGGCUUCAAGGACAUUCUCAGGGAGUGUGGCAUUGGGUAGUUAGCCUAAGGUAGCAUUCUCCAUUUGUGCACUUUACUGCAGCAAUUAAACAUUUACAGCAUAAAUCUCAAGGUCCCUAACAAAGUACAGGAAUUAUAAGUCAGAAGGAAUUUUCAUUUCUCCCAGUCCUUCACAGUUGUUCCCAGGCCGACCGAAUGAACAAAUAGCUGGGCACACACUGGUAAUGCAUUCAUUGUGUAACAAUUAGGGAGUAAAGUGCUUCAGUGCUCUCUCAAACGGUGUUAAGGAUAUUUCUGAUAAGUGUGUGGACUUUGCUACGUUCAGCUUUAUUGUUUGCACUUGCUGCUUGAUUGAACAGACAUAAUCUUAAAGUGCGCACUAGUGCGUGUAGCUUGCAACCUUGGCUUGGUCAGAGCACCACUAUGCUUAACUAAUGAUCAACUAAUGAUGGUUUCUCAGUAACCUUCAUGUCCUUCUUAGGCCUUUCCAAAUUGUGACUUUCCUGCGAUUAGCAACUGAGUAAGUUCACUCGAUUGUCAACAAUGUUAGUUUUGCUUUUCAGAGGAAAAACCAAGCCCCUUACUUUUGUACAACAGUGUGCAAUAACCUUAAAUAUUACGCAAUGGCAGGCUAUAGCAUUUGUGGGUCAAUCAAUCAUGCUUUUCAGCCUGUUGUAAGCUUCAGCUAUAAACUCUGGAAAUGCCACCUGACUACAACACACAUACACACACACACACAGUCACAUACAUACACACACCUACACACACACACACACACACACACACACAGGACCUUAAGCUGGCCAGUUUCCAAGGUCAAAUAAUACUACCAAACAAUGGCACUGCCAUUGAAGACCCAGAAGCACAGUGCAGUACAGUUCUAACCUGAGACUGCCUGUUCUCAGAGAUUGAGCACAUUAUCAACAUGUCUAUUGUCUGUGACACAAGCAUUAAGCACUGCCAGCAUUGUAAGAAGCAAUCCAGUAGUCUCUGCAUGAUGCAUUGUGUCGCACCUCUAAUAGGUCUAAUAGGUUUUUUGAAAUAAUUUACAGCAAGGCUUAGAAUUGAAAUUAAUUUAUUAAGAAAUCCCCACUGAAUAUUAUAUUCUAUAAUAGUUUUCAUACCAUUCAAGUAAAUCACUGAAAGAUCACAAGCACUGCAGCAAGCUUCCAAAGUUGUGCAGUUUGUCCAAAGUUGGCAAAGUUACAUAAUCUCAAAAGCUAAUUCAUCAUGAUAAGCGAACUGAUUAAAGUGAAUACGCUGUAGGUUCUUGUUUUAUGUUAGCUGAAUAUGGCUGUCAUCCCCAGUAAGAAGUAGCCAUGGGCUUGUGGGGACAUCUGCACCUCUGCACCUUGAACUGAUGCAAUUGUUGUACGUCGCUCUGGACGAGCGUCUGCUAAAUGCCUGUAAUGUAAUGUAAUGUAAUGCAUGGUAAUUGUGGGAUCUUUCAGGACAUUCCCAGAACAGGUAUGUGAAGCUGUCUAGUGAAUUCAGAUUAUCAAGUACCAGCUACAAGGUGUAUUGUAAUAUCUUUCAUUUUUAAGUGGAUAUAAGAAAUCAAACAUAUGACGAAACAAGUUUAACAAAAUAUGAAGUGGUGUAUUCUAGGCAGUUUUGUUUUUUUCUUUUUGUUUUUAAAACAAUCUGUUAAUAAUAACCUAGCAUGUUCUUGUCACAUUAUCAUUAGCUUGAACUGCUGAAUUAACAACAAUAUUGACUGAAUUCCCUUGAAUGUGCCGCCAGUUUGCUUGUCAUGAAUGUUUUAAUAGAUAAUCAGAUUAUUUGAAUAAUUAAAGGCUUUGAGAAUGAUCAUUUUGAAUUUAAGGAAGCCAUAAACGUGAGUAUCAGUAGAAAAAUUCUUUUUGGGUUAAAAUUUAAUUUUUCACUGUGGCAUUAUUGUACCUGAAUGUUAUUAUAAACAUACACCAUCUAAUAUUGCUUUCUUCCUUUCUCUUUUUCCCCUUCUCUCCAUCACUUUAUCCCUCUUCCUCUCUUUCUCACAGCAUGUCCAUGGCUUAAAAUCCAGUAAUAAUAGACAGCGCCACAAAUCUCUUCAUAGCAAUCAUAAUCAAGCAAUAUUACACUGUGGAGCACUUAAGCCUUCUUAACAUUACCCACUGCGAUGCAGUAAGUGUGUUCAAGGAAUUAUCUGGCAUCUCCAAACACAACAGAUGCCCUUAUUAUUACUAGAAAAAUGUGUAGUCGUGUGCUUGUGUCUUGAUUUGAUUCAGGUUUAUAACAUGCGGUCAGUUAGAUGACCUUCUCAAAGGUACUUUUUGUGUGCAUGUAAAAAUCUGAAAGGACUUUAAAUGUGCAUUUUUCUUGAAGUAGGAAUAAUUCAAUUCUCCAACAGUGGCUUGGACCACUUACAGUAUGUUGGGUUGUCACAUUCUGUCUGCUAUAUGUUUGAAGUGAGAGUGUGAAAUCCAAUAGUAAGAGUUUGCCAGGCCACUUGACACUUAAGCACAAGUCACUCCCUGGUUUGACUAUACUGUUAAAUUAAACAUUUGAACCUGCUGGUUGUCAAACAAGUUUGGACAAUUGCAAUCAAUCUAAACCUCAGAUUAAAUUACUUUUUUUGUCAGAACUGCGUUACAAGUUGGUAACACAGUAUUUUAGUUUUUUUUUGUUUGUUUUUUUGACAGUCAUGCCACAUGAACCACCUGCCUGGAAACUAGGGACUGCGUGAUUGAUAGAAAUGUAUCCAAAAAAAAAAAAAAAACAUGCAUCUGUGUUUUGUUUAGUGUAAGCCAAUUAGUUAUACACACAAGCUUCUGAAAUGAUAUAUUUCCAUGAAUCAUUGUCCAGCAAAAUGUGAACAAAAUGUUCAAAUACAUUCCAUUGUUAAACACACAGAAGAUAAGCACAUUAUUUACGUAUCUCGGGUAUAUCUUGAAAAUAGAUUCACCACCACAGUCCCACAGAGUGUAAAAUAAGAUUUGUGUUUUCUGGAUUAAUUGUACUGAGAAAAAAAUGUGUGAUUUUCCAAAGGGGGGUCAAAAUCCUUUCUGAUCGCUAAGGAUCAGAAAAAUCUUAGAUUCACAUGUUUUUCUGGUGUCCCUUUGCUUUUAUAAAAUACACUACGAGGGUGCGACCGAAAGCGCUUACACUUAGCUUUAGAGCUAAGCUCUGGCUGUGUAGAGAAAUAGACGGAUAUCCAGGAGGAGGUCUAGAUCUCUCCAAAUCCAUGUCUCUGAAAAAACACUUUUGUAUGAUCAUUUAAGCAAAAUGGUCAGAAACACAGGAUUAACCAUAUUUCAAAACUGUAAACACUGAGAUGCAAACUGCAAGGCCUACACAAUCAUUGCUUUUCAUUUUGAUUACAAUCCACUAGCAGUUCAUUAUUUAGCCAUCAGCUUCUGCAUUUGUCCAACAUAAUUUGAGUCCAAAAUAAUAAAGCUUCAUUCCUUUGACACAAGAACAAUAAAACCAGUCCUCGGCAGUACACAACAAGGUAAUGAGAAGCCAGUGGUAAUGGGAAUAACACUUAACAAUGAUCUUUUACUGCAGUGGUGGCUAAAGAAGAGAAUGAUAAAGCAAGAUAAAAUGUGUUGUAUACACAGAAUAAAAAUCAGGUUUACAGUAUAGGUAGCGAUAGAGGUUAGGUACAUGAUAAGCAGCUGCCAGUUUCCUGCUUUUUAUUGACUUCCAUGUCAAUAAUAAAGAACACAGUGCCCUCAUAAUGCAAUGCCAUCUAAAAAGCCUUUAUCAGGAGUAUACAAUGCUCUGCACCAAUGAAAUCUGUGGAGACACAAGUCAAUAUCUAUUGGCUAGUUUCAGAAAUUAAAUUUGUGCUUCACUAAUGGUUAGUUAUAAAUACACAUGCAAUUAAUCUGUUAAAUAUGUUUUCGAGAAAUAUUACUUUGGACCUUACAUUUUUCCAAGACAAUUUAAAUUGCAAAAAACAAAAACAAAAACAAAAACAAAUAAAAUCAUGAUUCAGAACCCUAAA